CCCUGGGCCGCCGAGUCCCGCGCUCGCCGCUCGGCGGCCAGUGUGGAGCCCGCCCGCCAGCGCCGGGGGCGGAGCAGCCCGCCUCCCCCCGCACGCCCCGCGGCAGCCGGGGGCUGGCAACUUUCUUUCCAUGUUUUGGAGCAUCAGAGAUGGUCUAAGUGGGAAGCUAACUCAGAAUACAGGUGCCAGUUUGAUUUUCCAGCAAAUCACUCACUGCCUUUGGACUCAGAAUGGCAGCACUGACCCCCACUCACCUGUUGUGCUGUCACAGUAUUACGAAGGCAGGCGAGGUCCUCAAUGAAAGCAAAAGAUCGGCAGCCUACCUGAGAGACUUUGCCAGAUCCAAUUGGGGUAAACACAAAUUUUGCAAACUGAUAAAACUGAAAGCACAUCUGGGACUUGGUACACAAGCGUGCUGUGGCCUAUGUGACAACUACUGAAGCAUGAGUACAUACUGCCAAGUUGUACCGGGCAGGACAAAAAAUGUGAUCCGAGGCAUUCGAGCGCGUUGGACACCCUCAUGCCAUGAAAGGAACUAAAUCCAUCACGCUUCAAGUCAGGCAGCCACUCCUCUGUCACAGCACAGGGUUUCUCUGAACUGGAGUUGUUUGUUGCAUUCCUGCAUCUGCACUAGAAAGUGAGUUCCUAGGCUUUGUCUCUGGAGAGCCUAUAGAAGAAAGGCAGUGGAUUUUAUCCUGGGAGCAAAUUCUACUCUUGUGCUUGGAUGCCAUGUUGAGAAGGAUUGUGGGGUCGCAUCAAGGUUUGGCAAGAAAGAAUACAAGAUGAUUAAUAAUUGAGUCUCCUUGUACACAUAUAUGCAUAACCCAUGGACACUGACAAUAGGAUGCUGAAGGCCUGGGGGAGAGGGGCAGGCCGCAGCGGGUUAAUGAGGGGAAAAAAGAGGCAUGUGUAAUACUUUUAAUAAUAAAGAAUUAUUUUAAUACAUAAAUAAAUAUACUGAAACCAAUUGGAAGAGUUUUCAACUGUCAAAAUCUAGGACAAUUUGAACAUCAAUUAAUUAUAGUAACAGAUUUAAGUGAGCCAUUUAAUUAAAGAGAAAAUUAUGAAUUCAUACUGAUAUCAAGCUAUUAUUCUAUCAAUAAAAUUUGAUGAUGAAUAAAAAUAAUAAUAAUUGAGUCUCUGCCAUGGGCACAUGGUGGGGGGUAUUAAUAUUACUAUCAUGUACUUAUCAACCCUAUUGAUAAUAGGAGACAAUAAUAUUAAAUGAUUGGCUGGAUGAAUAAGUGAAGGUAAGAACAACACAAAGUAUCUUUACCCACAGAGGCAGAUAUAAUGUUAAUUUGAAAAAGGGUGAGACCAACCUUACUACUUGCCUCUAUUUCAUUAACAAUGUUAUUGUUAAGACAAAAGGAGAUUGGCUUAAAGCUAAACACUCCUUGUUAGGAUGCUAACUCUAAGUACCUCAAGGAACAAACAUUUGCUACAAUAUUGUUUUUACCACAUUAGGAGCACUUGUAUAAGCCAGAGAUGAAAAUAGCUGGCCAGGAAAACAGCAGCUCUGUUCCUUUGUCCAAGAGUCCAGUCACACCCUAUAAAGGCCUGAGCUCCUUAUCUCAUUCUGGUCUUGUUUCCUGCCAAACCUGAAAACUAACACAAAUAAAUGGCUAAUUGCUCCCUUGACCAAUGUGAUCUUUCUGACCAUUGUCCUGAUUCAAGUAGAAAGUUGUGUCUAACAACAUGCAAUUUGUGCACUGCCAAUAUAUGCAGUAGAUUGUCUCCUAAAAUACUGAACCAACAGAACAAGUUUCUGCCAAUUGAAUCAGAGUCCCACAUUCUAGAGUUUGAAGAAAAGUUAAGACAAAAGUCAUGAUUCAAUGUCAAGUGGUAAGCAUGGAGCC
Long non-coding RNA from Myotis myotis, 1859 nucleotides. RefSeq lists it as uncharacterized. The record is from RefSeq and is a predicted model, not a curated record. The transcript is spliced from 3 exons. NCBI's taxonomy places the organism in Eukaryota, Metazoa, Chordata, Mammalia, Chiroptera, Vespertilionidae.